Molecule: long non-coding RNA, 317 nt
Filed under: Sander lucioperca (pikeperch)
Lineage: Eukaryota; Metazoa; Chordata; Actinopteri; Perciformes; Percidae
Description: lncRNA (ENSSLUG00000014825.1)
Source: RNAcentral
AUCCGUUACAUAUGUGUAAGUGUGUUACUGUACGUUCCAAGAUGCUACCAACAUAUCUCCUGUCUACAGGUCCUCCAUGUUUUAUAACUUUGUUAAGGCCAUGUUGGUGAGGAACCCGAAGAAGAGACCCAGCGCCUCCAAGAUGCUCUCAAACACGUUUUUGACCCAGCAAGGCCUGAACCAGGAGCUGACCCUGGACCUGCUGGAGAAGUAUCGACACCCUGAGAAACUCAAGUCCUGCCUGGUGACGGAAGACGACGAGAUGGAGGUGAUGGGCUCUUUGAAGAGGAUCCAGUCUAUCAACAAGCACAACCAGG